This 166-nucleotide non-coding RNA is filed under the name Acholeplasma laidlawii. RNAcentral's name for it is "Lysine sequence". It matches the Rfam family "Lysine riboswitch aptamer". From Rfam's summary of the family: Riboswitches are metabolite binding domains within certain messenger RNAs that serve as precision sensors for their corresponding targets. Allosteric rearrangement of mRNA structure is mediated by ligand binding, and this results in modulation of gene expression. The record is from RNAcentral. Lineage: Bacteria; Bacillati; Mycoplasmatota; Mollicutes; Acholeplasmatales; Acholeplasmataceae. RNAcentral also lists the same sequence under 1 other name.
AAUAUAAAUAGAGGUUGCGAUUAAGAAGAGUAGAGUGGGGAGCCGGUAGGCUAUGAACCACUUCAAAGGCAAAAAUCGCCGAAUAAAUAAUGAAGACAUUCAUUAUUUAUGGGGUUGUUGGUAAUACCAAUAACACUCCUACGAAAGUAGAGGAGCUAUUAUAAUU